Hyla sarda is the source of this 857-nucleotide long non-coding RNA. RefSeq lists it as uncharacterized. The transcript is spliced from 3 exons. Lineage: Eukaryota; Metazoa; Chordata; Amphibia; Anura; Hylidae. The record is from RefSeq and is a predicted model, not a curated record.
GAGUUUCCGGGGGGGAAAAAACAGUAAGGUGUGGUGUAGGCUGACUAAAAUGGAGCAGGAAUCUGUAAAUUUGGAGGUAAUCCACCACAUUUUCUUCCCAGAGCCAAGUAAGACUGGACAGUGCCAAAUGACGUGUAGGAUUGUGCCAGUUACCAGACCCCAACACCAGAACAUUCUGUAGGAGAUUGAAGUAAAGUUCCAAUGGAGUGGAGAGGGAAUCCAGUGUCAACUAGCUGCCACAGUCCUGACCAAGAGUAUCAGCUGAAAUAGACCCAGCAAGUAACUGUCAGCAAAUCGUUAGUCCAAACCCCAGACCAGACCUCAAAAUUAUUUAAUAGUCAACUUUUAAAUGAAACAGUAUAUCAAGUCUCAUCUCAUAGAAGGAAAAUUUAUGUAGGUCCGCACCACAGUAUCUACCCUAGAGGCAAGUGUCUGUGUUGCACUAAGAAGUCAAUGCCAUACUCACUCAAACCAGCAGCCUUAUUGUUCUCAACUGAGGUUCCCUCCAUACAAAUCCUCAGGCUAUAAUUACAGGCAAGUUCAGCACAGGGACUCUGUUCUACUACUUCAAACUGUCUGCCUUUCCCACUUAUCCAUGGAAGUUAAGCUAGUGUGCCAGGUAGGGUGCUGAGGAGAUUUUUGGCAAGGUGCCUGGAAUUAGCGUGUAUCCAUUCUGGCUUCUGCAAAGGACACAUGUGCAAUUUUGUUCUUAGGACUGAAUUACAUGUUCACAAAAGAUUAAGUUACAUUCUAUAGUUCUAUCCUCUUUUUCUUUAUGCGACGUUGGUAGCAUAUGGACCAACGUAACUGACAUGUAAAACUAUAUUAUAUAAUUUACAAUUCUUACAUAAAAUAAA